This 1379-nucleotide long non-coding RNA is filed under the name Coturnix japonica (Japanese quail). RNAcentral describes it as "lncRNA (ENSCJPG00005001177.1)". Lineage: Eukaryota; Metazoa; Chordata; Aves; Galliformes; Phasianidae. The record is from RNAcentral.
UAUACAUUUAUGCCGAGUCUUGCCACUGCUAAAAUGCAAACUGCAAUUUUGUAACAAAAUGCAGUAUUUCUGAAUUAUUGCUCUUUGAAGCCCCAAAGGACUCCCACAGGAGCACUUCUGAGUUCUUUCUAUUUUAGUUUGUUUGCAUGUUUCCCCAAGACUAGUUAGGUCGAUCUGAUGUAGUGAUUUGACUCUUCUUUUUCCUCAAAUGACCCACACACCCCCAAAAAGACCUUUCAUAUUCCUCAACUUUUAGUAAGCUAUUCCUAAUCCAAAAAAUAAUUACCUCUGCUUUGUUUUGUUUGUUUUAAAAGCAGAAAGUUAGAAGAGCAGACCAGACUACAGCUAAAUAUCUGUGUCUGCAACAGUGAAGAAAGUUCCUCUGUCCAGAUGUUCAGCAACUGCUGCUGAGAGCAGCCCUAAGCAGUGGCUACAGACAGAGGGGAGGCAGAAAAUAGUUCCUCCCUGGCCAUUUUCAUCGAGUUUGCUUCCUGCCUCAGUGAGGACAGUGACAGCCAGAGAAGAAAUGUUAGAAGAGGCACUGUCCUGCCUGCAGGAAGCUACGGUCUCGUGCCACCAAAUUCAUUCAAGCUUGGACACAACUUCAGUAGCAGCGCAAUCAGACCCAUGGCCAACAAGGUUUACUGGUAUGCAGAUAAGCUUGUACUGUUUAAUAUUUAAAGCUCAGAAGGGAAGAAGCUUUAAAAGAAGGAAGAAGAAAGGAAGACUACAGAGUGCUAGGCAGUAUCCUGUAUCCUGCAUAAGCAGCUCUCAUCUCAGACACCAUCAUAUGAACUGCAAGAAAGGACAGCUGAGGAGCAGGAAUGUCAGGAAGAGAUCAAGGACUAAAACUGUGUAACUGGCAGGAGCUUCUAGAACUGGAGAGAAGGAGAAGAGGAGAACAGAGCUUAGGUUUUCCAAUUGCAAAUAUCUAAAAUGGUUCACAUAUGUUUUUUUUAAAAGGUACAGUUUCUAGUAAACAGUUACAUAAAACUCUGGUCUGGAUUUCUGUAAUGAAGAUUUAAAAAUAUAUUGCAGAUUUAAAUGAAAUUAAUCUUUUUUUUUUUUUUUUUUUUUUUUUUUCCCCUCUCUCUCCAGGAAUCAUCCCCCCCCCGGUUCAUUUAUGGGUCUUAUUACCUUUAAAUUGUGACAAGUUAACUCUUAGAACUGAAUGGAAGCUGGAGGUAUUCAACACCUGAACGUUCACUCUACUACAAUGCAAGAAUGUAAAAGCACAGAUGAACUGUAUGACUGAGAGAAUUAAGGAGGCCCCCUUUUGUCUUCCUGUUGUUCCUUAAGAACAUAAAGAAUUGACCAUUUUGUCUCAGUUUGCUGAGAGUCAGUAAUUCAAUAAAAUGUUACAUACUUCUUAAUAUGCA